UACCCGCUGAAUUUAAGCAUAUCAAUAAGCGGAGGA
This 36-nucleotide ribosomal RNA is filed under the name Sisyrinchium subnudum. Its description in RNAcentral is "partial 28S ribosomal RNA". Lineage: Eukaryota; Viridiplantae; Streptophyta; Magnoliopsida; Asparagales; Iridaceae. The record is from RNAcentral.